ACAUAAAGUGGGGAUAGCCUUUUGGGAAAUAGAGAUUGGGUAGGCGGGGUAGUCUGCCUGGCCAAUGGGAAGUUUGAUUCCCAUGAAUGUUUAGACCAAUCAGAGAGCGGAAUGCCACAGAGGCUCCACCUUCUUUCCCGUGUUGGCAGCGUUGAUUGUGAGCGGGAGAUCCGACCCUGAUCAGACAGCUGAGCCAGAAACCACUAAGAUCAGUUGGAACUGUUGCACUUUCUGGCAGUUGAUUGGCAGUUGUUUUCAGUUCAACUGAAGUGCCCUCCGUGUCUGGAAUGAGAGUCCCUGUCUAGUUGUUUUGAACGUGCCGCACUGAGAUCGGUGAGCAUAUUUUGUACCUUUCAUUUGGUUUUUGUUCUUUUAUCUUGUUGUCAAAUAAUGAUCUUUAUUUGAC
Molecule: long non-coding RNA, 406 nt
Organism: Poeciliopsis prolifica (blackstripe livebearer)
Lineage: Eukaryota; Metazoa; Chordata; Actinopteri; Cyprinodontiformes; Poeciliidae
Exons: 3
Source: RefSeq, a predicted model, not a curated record